CGCGUAGGCGGUCUUGUAAGUCAGAUGUGAAAGCCCGGGGCUCAACCCCGGAAGUGCAUUUGAGACUGCGAGACUUGAGUAUGGGAGGGGGAAGUGGAAUUCCUGGUGUAGAGGUGAAAUUCGUAGAUAUCAGGAGGAACACCAGUGGCGAAGGCGACUUCCUGGACCAAUACUGACGCUGAUGCGCGAAGGCGUGGGGAGCAAACAG
RNAcentral lists this ribosomal RNA (208 nucleotides) under uncultured delta proteobacterium. RNAcentral describes it as "partial 16S ribosomal RNA". It matches the Rfam family "Bacterial small subunit ribosomal RNA", at positions 568 to 775 of the family's 1533-position model. Lineage: Bacteria; Deltaproteobacteria. The record is from RNAcentral.